This 253-nucleotide ribosomal RNA is filed under the name uncultured bacterium. RNAcentral's name for it is "partial 16S ribosomal RNA". It matches the Rfam family "Bacterial small subunit ribosomal RNA", at positions 524 to 776 of the family's 1533-position model. The record is from RNAcentral.
UACAGAGACUGCAAGCGUUAUUCGGAUUCACUGGGCGUAAAGGGUGCGCAGGCGGCCAGGUGUGUUAGGCGUGAAAGCCCGGGGCUUAACCCCGGAAUUGCACCUAAAACUACUUGGCUAGAGCAUUGGAGAGGGUAGCGGAAUUCACGGUGUAGCAGUGAAAUGCGUAGAGAUGUGGAGGAAUACCGAUGGCGAAGGCAGCCCCCUGGGUCAAUACUGACGCUCAUGCACGAAAGCGUGGGGAGCAAACAGG